UUGAACGCUGGCGGCAGGCCUAACACAUGCAAGUCGAGCGGAUGACGGGAGCUUGCUCCUUGAUUCAGCGGCGGACGGGUGAGUAAUGCCUAGGAAUCUGCCUGGUAGUGGGGGACAACGUUUCGAAAGGAACGCUAAUACCGCAUACGUCCUACGGGAGAAAGCAGGGGACCUUCGGGCCUUGCGCUAUCAGAUGAGCCUAGGUCGGAUUAGCUAGUUGGUGGGGUAAUGGCUCACCAAGGCGACGAUCCGUAACUGGUCUGAGAGGAUGAUCAGUCACACUGGAACUGAGACACGGUCCAGACUCCUACGGGAGGCAGCAGUGGGGAAUAUUGGACAAUGGGCGAAAGCCUGAUCCAGCCAUGCCGCGUGUGUGAAGAAGGUCUUCGGAUUGUAAAGCACUUUAAGUUGGGAGGAAGGGCAGUAAGYUAAUACCUUGCUGUUUUGACGUUACCGACAGAAUAAGCACCGGCUAACUCUGUGCCAGCAGCCGCGGUAAUACAGAGGGUGCAAGCGUUAAUCGGAAUUACUGGGCGUAAAGCGCGCGUAGGUGGUUUGUUAAGUUGGAUGUGAAAGCCCCGGGCUCAACCUGGGAACUGCAUCCAAAACUGGCAAGCUAGAGUACGGUAGAGGGUGGUGGAAUUUCCUGUGUAGCGGUGAAAUGCGUAGAUAUAGGAAGGAACACCAGUGGCGAAGGCGACCACCUGGACUGAUACUGACACUGA
RNAcentral lists this ribosomal RNA (725 nucleotides) under Pseudomonas sp. 120516_NH_C2_F1. RNAcentral describes it as "bacterial SSU rRNA". It matches the Rfam family "Bacterial small subunit ribosomal RNA", at positions 29 to 749 of the family's 1533-position model. The record is from RNAcentral. Lineage: Bacteria; Pseudomonadati; Pseudomonadota; Gammaproteobacteria; Pseudomonadales; Pseudomonadaceae.